AUUGAACGCUGGCGGCAUGCCUAACACAUGCAAGUCGAACGAGUGGCGGACGGGUGAGCAAUGUCUGGGAAACUGCCUAAUGGAGGGGGAUGACUAGUGGAAACGGUGGCUAAUACCGCAUACCAUCCGAUGGGGCCAGAGGGGAUUAGCGAGUUGGUGGGGUAACGGCUCACCAAGGCGACGAUCCCUAGCUGGGCUGAGAGGCUGACCAGCCACACUGGAACUGAGACACGGUCCAGACUCCUACGGGAGGCAGCAGUGGGGAAUAUUGCACAAUGGGCGCAAGCCUGAUGCAGCCAUGCCGCGUGUAUGAAGAAGGCCUUCGGGUUGUAAAGUACUUUCAGCGGGGAGGCGUUACCCGCAGAAGAAGCACCGGCUAACUCCGUGCCAGCAGCCGCGGUAAUUC
Molecule: ribosomal RNA, 406 nt
Filed under: uncultured bacterium
Lineage: Bacteria
Description: partial 16S ribosomal RNA
Rfam family: Bacterial small subunit ribosomal RNA
Source: RNAcentral